UAUUCACGAGGACCGGCAUUUCCCUAUCCUACCUGGUGUCAACUUACCUGCGGAUGGAGCACUUACAAGUGGAUGCCCGGCUGUGGAUUUCCCGGGCUGAAAGCUUCGUGUCGGGGGUGGCGGCCGGGAGACGCGGGAAAAAUGUGAUGAGGAGCGACGUGAACGGAAAAGAAGAAGAAGAAGAAGAACAAACGAACCAAAAGUCAAUGCACGGAUGGAUGGAUGUAGGGGGGAGAAGAGGAAAAGAAAAGUGCACUCUCUCUCUAUCGUCUAUCUAAAGAGAAACUCACAGGGGAGGAUAUGGCAGCAGCAGACCCUGAUGAAUUCACGAUCGCUAAUUAAAACUAACAAGCACACACACACACAUGUGUGUGUGUACUCGGGCUGCCAAUUAGCAAAAGCACCGUCGUAUUAGGUUUCACUGUAAAAAUAACAUUCGCCAACUAAUGACGGCAGAAGAAAGAAAGCAGGUAACGUACAAUAUGUUCUCUAAUGGCUUCCAAGGAAAUUUAAUUAAACCGCUGCUGUCGUCUCUCUUUUGUUUUUCUUCUUUUUUCGUGUCUGUGAGAAAUAGCCGUCCCAAAUGGUUGUGAGAUCAUCAUCACAAACCUUUUUUUUCCUUUCCAUUUGUCAUUGAGGAGAAGUAAAAGAAGCUGUAACUACCUGGAAGAAGUAAAACAAGAAGAAUAUUUCCCACACGGUCCGGUAGAGUCCGGAACGAUCCUGUGAGGCUGAUUGUUUUGUCAAGAGUCACUGAACUGUUUUUCACCAGAAGCGGGCACACACGGAGAGCGUCGGACACACAAAAGUCGAGAGAAACGUCAACAUUUUCCAUUUCUUCUAUUUCUUCUCCUCGGCCGGCAGAACAACAAGAAAGAGAAGAGAAGAGAAAAAGUGGUUUGACACGAUUAGACGCAGUCGCAGCUGUGUGGAAUCUAACGACGCGCGGCCUGUGACGUUCGUGAGAAGACGACCCGCUUCUUCUUCCAUCCAUCCGCUCUGCUUUUUCUUCUUUCUUUGCAAUGUACAUAUAAAAAAAAGAGAAUAAGAGAAACGGGUUGGAUGUAUAAUCUAGCAACCAGGAGGGGGAAGACGGGAAAAAUGACUGAAUUUAUCCGUUUUUCUUUGAUGUGUAUAAUCACGUAGUUACACGGUAUAUACAGUCACUCGGCCCGCCCGUCUCUCUUGCCUCUGUGUGUGUUCUUUCUCUCCUUUUUCUUCUUUCUGACUUGUCGUUGAUUACAUUAGAGAGAUAUAUCAUUGCGAGCGCGUAGACAAAUGCACACAGCUCUUAUUAUUAUCAAAAGUCCCUCUCCUUUUAUUUUUCUAUUUGGCCAAACAAACCAGCUGCUGCAUCAAGGACAAAUAGACUGGCAGCUAUAUAAUACAAGUUAUAUCACUUUUUCAAAUCCAUCUAGGUGGGCCAUCUUGUUGUGGCGGCUCUCAAAGGAAUUUCUCUGACGGUUUCCUGCUGCAAAUUUCUUUUUUUUACUUUUACCUUGACAGUGGUUGUA
Long non-coding RNA from Daphnia pulex (common water flea), 1514 nucleotides. RefSeq lists it as uncharacterized. The transcript has 4 exons. The record is from RefSeq and is a predicted model, not a curated record. Lineage: Eukaryota; Metazoa; Arthropoda; Branchiopoda; Diplostraca; Daphniidae.